CUUAAACAGAUUGAACAAGGGGAGAAAGUUGAUGUCUCAAAUCAAAAGCCGGGUAGAGUUGGCCGCAAGCGGAAAGAUUUGGAUUUGUCAAGGGUGGUGACAAUCCCAUUGAACAGAAGGAGAACAUUGUGAGGUCUGUCAAAGGCAUUGGGUGUAAGCUGCACGACCUCACACUCAAUGUUCGAGUGGGGUCAUUUGAGGCGUCACAGUAAUAAGGUGAGGCCCCACUUAAACCUAUCCAACAUUGUAAAGAGAUUGAAAUGGUGA
This 267-nucleotide ribosomal RNA is filed under the name Triticum aestivum (bread wheat). RNAcentral describes it as "partial small subunit ribosomal RNA". The record is from RNAcentral. Lineage: Eukaryota; Viridiplantae; Streptophyta; Magnoliopsida; Poales; Poaceae.